UCUUGGUCAAUUAGAGGAAGUAAAAGUCGUAACAAGGUUUCCGUAGGUGAACCUGCGGAAGGAUCAUUAUCGUAUUACCAAGAGGCACGAGGGCUGUUUGCUGACCCUUUCGAGGGGGGUCGUGCACGCCCUGGGUGUCCUCACAUAAUCCACCUCACCCUUGUGCAUCACCGCGUGGGCUUCCUUUCCUUUGAAAGGGGGAGGGGGCUCGCGUCUUUCACAACGCGCACCCUUGGUAUGGAAUGUCUUACUAUGCGAUCACACGCGAUCAAUACAACUUUCAACAACGGAUCUCUUGGCUCUCGCAUCGAUGAAGAACGCAGCGAAAUGCGAUAUGUAAUGUGAAUUGCAGAAUUCAGUGAAUCAUCGAAUCUUUGAACGCACCUUGCGCCCUUUGGUAUUCCGAGGGGCACACCCGUUUGAGUGUCGUGAAAUUCUCAACCUUCUUCCCUUUUUCAUUUGAAUCGGGGGAGAAAGGCUUGGACUUUGGAGGCUUUUUUGCUGGCCUCUUUCAUUUUUGAAGCCAGCUCCUCUUAAAGGAAUUAGUGGGAUCCCCCUCUGUCGGUCCUCGACGUGAUAAGCCUUUUCUUUGACGUCGCAUUGAGAGGCAGAGAGAGACCCGCUUCCAAUGGUCUCAUCGAGACGACGGUGGACUUUUUGAUCCAUCAGACCCUUUUGACCUCAAAUCGGGUGAGACUACCCGCUGAACUUAAGCAUAUCAAUAAGCGGAGGAAAAGAAACUAACAAGGAUUCCCCUAGUAACUGCGAGUGAAGCGGGAAAAGCUCAAAUUUAAAAUCUGGCGGUCUUUGAUCAUCCGAGUUGUAAUUUAGAGAAGCGUCUUCCGCGCUGGACCGUGUACAAGUCUCCUGAA
Molecule: ribosomal RNA, 872 nt
Filed under: uncultured Russulaceae
Lineage: Eukaryota; Fungi; Basidiomycota; Agaricomycetes; Russulales; Russulaceae
Description: eukaryotic LSU rRNA
Rfam family: 5.8S ribosomal RNA (bases 276-429)
Source: RNAcentral